UACGUAGGGUGCAAGCGUUGUCCGGAUUUAUUGGGCGUAAAGAGCUCGUAGGCGGUCUGUCGCGUCGGAUGUGAAAACCCAGGGCUCAACCCUGGGCCUGCAUUCGAUACGGGCAGACUAGAGUGUGGCAGGGGAGACUGGAAUUCCUGGUGUAGCGGUGAAAUGCGCAGAUAUCAGGAAGAACACCCGUGGCUAAGGCGGCUCUCUAGUACGGUACUGACGCUGAGACGCGAAAGCGUGGGGAGCGAACAGG
Molecule: ribosomal RNA, 253 nt
Filed under: uncultured bacterium
Lineage: Bacteria
Description: partial 16S ribosomal RNA
Rfam family: Bacterial small subunit ribosomal RNA
Source: RNAcentral